GACGAACGCUGGCGGCGUGCUUAACACAUGCAAGUCGAACGGAAAGGCCUGCUUUCCCUUGUGGAUUGCGGGUACUCGAGUGGCGAACGGGUGAGUAACACGUGAGUGAUCUGCCCCCAACUUGGGUAUAAGCCUGGGAAACUGGGUCUAAUUCCCGAUAGGACUGCAGGGUGGUGCCUGUGGUGGAAAACGAUUUUCUAGUGGUUGGGGAUGAGCUCGCGGCCUAUCAGCUUGUUGGUGGGGUAAUGGCCUACCAAGGCGGCGACGGGUAGCCGGCCUGAGAGGGGGGACGGCAAAAUUGGGACUGAGAUACGGCCCAGACUCCUACGGGAGGCAGCAGUGGGGAAUAUAGCACAAUGGGCGGAAGCCUGAUGCAGCGACGCCGCGUGGGGGAUGACGGCCUUCGGGUUGUAAACUCCUUUCGACCGCGAGGAAGCCACCUGGUUGGAAGGGUGGUGACGGUAGUGGUAGAAGAAGCACCGGCUAACUACGUG
This 494-nucleotide ribosomal RNA is filed under the name uncultured bacterium. Its description in RNAcentral is "partial 16S ribosomal RNA". It matches the Rfam family "Bacterial small subunit ribosomal RNA", at positions 28 to 507 of the family's 1533-position model. The record is from RNAcentral.